GACGAACGCUGGCGGCGUGCUUAACACGUGCAAGUCGAACGGAAAGGCCCUGCUUUUGUGGGGUGCUCGAGUGGCGAACGGGUGAGUAACACGUGAGUAACCUGCCCUUGACUUUGGGAUAACUUCAGGAAACUGGGGCUAAUACCGGAUAGGAGCUCCUGCUGCAUGGUGGGGGUUGGAAAGUUUCGGCGGUCGGGGAUGGACUCGCGGCUUAUCAGCUUGUUGGUGGGGUAGUGGCUUACCAAGGCUUUGACGGGUAGCCGGCCUGAGAGGGUGACCGGCCACAUUGGGACUGAGAUACGGCCCAGACUCCUACGGGAGGCAGCAGUGGGGAAUAUUGCACAAUGGGCGGAAGCCUGAUGCAGCAACGCCGCGUGCGGGAUGACGGCCUUCGGGUUGUAAACCGCUUUCGCCUGUGACGAAGCGUGAGUGACGGUAAUGGGUAAAGAAGCACCGGCUAACUACGUG
Molecule: ribosomal RNA, 468 nt
Filed under: uncultured bacterium
Lineage: Bacteria
Description: partial 16S ribosomal RNA
Rfam family: Bacterial small subunit ribosomal RNA
Source: RNAcentral